Molecule: ribosomal RNA, 3002 nt
Filed under: Triticum aestivum (bread wheat)
Lineage: Eukaryota; Viridiplantae; Streptophyta; Magnoliopsida; Poales; Poaceae
Description: partial small subunit ribosomal RNA
Source: RNAcentral
AUAAAUAUCGGCCGGGGAGGAGCGAAAUAAGAGCGGAGGUGAAUGUCUGGCGGAGGUGAAGAGGUGGCGAGGAGGAGGAGGAGCUAGAGCGGCGUCGUCUCUCGUGGCGUGACACCUGAUAGGAGGAGGUGCGGGGAUGAGGCCAGGCUCCUGUGUUGCACUCAUCCGCGCCACCACGAGACGAAGACGAAGACGAACUAACUAACAACGAUAGGUAAGGUAGGGUAUACGCGACACGGACAGGGGCCAAAAGCGAUUAGGCGGGCAAAAAACACAAGGGGGCCGGUUUUAGUUUGAGCAAAGCAGGUGUCGUCCUAGAAACGAAAGGAAAGACGAGUGACUAGUAUGGAAGAAAUCGGAGGCCUAAAUUUCGAGAAGAAAACAACGAGCCUAAAACGUCCUAUAAGAACUCGAAUCGACGCGCACGUACCUCUCUAACGGCAGCGACGACGGCUAGCUGAGGUCGUCGACCUAGCGAGGACGCUAAUUGGAUCAGACUGAACCGGCGGGCCCCUAUUGAACGACAAGCGAGAUGACAAGAACUCAAAUCGACGCUGUCCAAGAAGUAGAACAAGGUUCACGUCUCAUCGAUCGAUCGAUCGAUCACCUUAAGUAAGGUUCUACCACGACCGCGUGUGCAGGUUCCACCACGACCCUACGCACCGCAAGCCGUAGAAGACCCACGACCGCCACAAGGGGUCGCACGGGAAGUACGGCCACCCGGCGUGGCGGCCGAGCGACGACCCGCGGUACGAGUACCACGAGAAGGCGCACUAGAGGGGCCUCCUGCGCAUGCGCCGGUAGCUGGAGGGGUAGUAGCCGGAGGAGAAGCCGUGGUACCACCACAGGUAGAAGGACCUCGCGCGGCUGUACAAGUUCAUGGAGCCGUUGGACGAGGUCACCUUCUCGGCGCCGGGGUUCCUGGACGAGAAGGCGCAGACGUAGCAGAGGCGGUAGCGGAGGCGCGAGAAGUGGUUGCUGUGGACGACGCAGCAGGAGUGGCUCAAGUAGGAGUUCCAGCGCGCGGUCUUGUUGGAGGGCGGGGUCGGCAAAGAGGAGCGGGAGCGGUGGUCGAGGUUGUAGCCGAGGCGGCGUUGCGGGUAGCCGUUGGGCGUCUUGGAGCAGUAGCGGCAGCUCUCGCCGUAGAGGAAGCCGGUCAAGGAGGAGCCGCAGAAGGGCCGGUACUAGCAGCCGCACGAGUGGUUGCGGCGGUAGGAGGAGACGAUGAAGACCGCCAUGGAGCGGCAGCUCGGCCGGCUGGUCCUCGCGCCGCCGCAGCAGAGGUGCCCCGGGCUCGAGCAGCCGCUGCUGCUCCAGUGGAGCGUGGCGAAGUGCGGGCGGUCCUACAGCGUGCAGAGGAGCGAGUUGGGCCUGCUGAAGCUGACGCAGUCGCUCGGGUAGUAGGCCUCGCGGUCGCAGUUGCCGCUGGACGCGUCGUCCUCGCAGUUGAGGUUGAGGUUGCGGCGGCGGCUGCGGCUGUACGUCAAGAGGUAGUCCAGGGAGGCGAGGAGGUCGUACAGCGUGCUCUACCACCUCCAGAGGUGGCAGGGGCAGGAGCUGCCGCGGAGGAGGUCCUUCAAGUGGUCCUGGCGGUCGGUCGUCUCCUCGCAGUAGUAGCUCCUGCGCGGCGGCAGCAGCGGGUGCCUGCUGCUCCGGCGGCGGUUGCCGCUGUUCCUGUUCCCCCUCGAAGGGCUCCACCACCUCUUCUCCACCUUCCACGACCACACCUUCUGCCGGCACAUGGAGUAGUGGGAGCCGUACGAGUAGCGGGAGGAGUACCCGGAGUUGUACAGGACCUGGCGGUAGUGGCGGCGAGAGCAGGAGGAGCGCGAGCUAAAGUGGCUGCGUGUCCGGACGGAGCUCUUCCACAGGAUGAGCGACGAGUAGAAGAAGACGCCCUACAAGUAGUGGCACCUGCCCAAGUUGUUCUGGCCGUAUGGGUUGUGGUACACCCUCGACCACCUCGGGAUGAGCGCCUAGCUGUCGCGGUCUCCGCAGCGCGAGGAGCCGGAGCAGUAGGAGUAGGAGAGUUUGCAGCGUAGUUUACAAGGGUGUCAAGACGACGACCCCUGCUCCCACCGGCGCAGCCGGCGCCGCUAGAGUGGCCGCAGCCUCUCCUUCCGUACCGACUAUGACCGCAUGCACUCGUGCCACCGGCCCUUGGACUGCGACGACCCCAGCCGCCGCUUGGACUAACACACGCUCGUCCGCUCCGCGCGCGUCAAGAAGCCGAUGUUGGACAGGAAGACCUCGGUGGAGGCCAAGCCCCACGGCAGGUGGUAGCAGCAGUGGCGGUAGCCGGAGGAGUAGCAGUCGUCGAUGACUUAAGUUGGUUCGUUCUUUGAUUUUCUACUGUGAUCACGGACGGAACGCUCCUGGUAUCGCUUUGGGAAAAGAAGAAGUUAUUACCUCUAAUAAUGAGUACAUUUUAGCUAUCCGAACAGAACAUUGGGCAAACACAGAACACAUAGAGUCUUUUUAGUCGCAACAGUAGAAGAGAACAGCGAUUUCGUCUGCCGGCCAUUCCAUGCCCACCGUCUGGUUCAUCGGACGCAAAAGUCUAAAGAGUUGAACCUCAACGUCUAUGCCAUCCAAGAGCAACUUGAUUCUUUAAUGAGGAUAUAACAUUAGACUAAAGUCAAAACCACAAAGUCUUACUACUUAGUUGCACCAGACAUUAGCACGGUAUGAACGUAUCAAAUGAAAAUGUAGGUGAACGUAUCAAACAAAACAAGUGACGUGCUGAUUUUUUACCUACACAACCAGAUCGUUCUUGAGUGUUGUCUUCAGACGACGACGACGACACAUUCUAUUAUCAAGACCAUCAUGAGUUCAACCUUUUGUCUAACUAGUCCACCUACGACGACGAUCAUUACACCCAGGAUUUAAGUAACCACGGUAGACGAAGUUAACACCGGUUGGCCCGGUGAAAUAACCGUACACGGUUGAAGGAUUUCAGACGAAGUAAACAUUUUGGGGAACGGUGGUAUACCUACAAACGG